UUUCCGUAGGUGAACCUGCGGAAGGAUCAUUAUUGUAUAACCGAGGUGCGAGGGCUGUCGCUGACCCGAAAGGUCGUGCACGCCCGAGUGCCCUCACACACAUCCAUCUCACCCCUAUGUGCACCACCGCGUGGGUCCCCCUUUGGCUUGUUCGGAGGGGGGCUUACGUUUUCACACAAACUUUGUAUGCAGUGUAGAAUGUAUUUUUUGUUUUUGCGAUCACGCAAUCAAUACAACUUUCAACAACGGAUCUCUUGGCUCUCGCAUCGAUGAAGAACACAGC
RNAcentral lists this unclassified non-coding RNA (283 nucleotides) under plant metagenome. Its description in RNAcentral is "partial contains small subunit ribosomal RNA, internal transcribed spacer 1, and 5.8S ribosomal RNA". The stretch from base 235 to 283 matches the Rfam family "5.8S ribosomal RNA", at positions 1 to 49 of the family's 154-position model. The record is from RNAcentral.